RNAcentral lists this ribosomal RNA (981 nucleotides) under Triticum aestivum (bread wheat). RNAcentral describes it as "partial small subunit ribosomal RNA". Lineage: Eukaryota; Viridiplantae; Streptophyta; Magnoliopsida; Poales; Poaceae. The record is from RNAcentral.
AUGGCAGUAGUUCUUCAAUUUGCAAACAUAGAAGGGGUGAUAAGAGAACAUUUUCUUGAUCUUGUUCAUGUUAGAGACACUAGUGCUUUGACUCUCAAGAACACAAUUAUUGCCGUCCUAGUUGAUAAUGGGUUGAAUGUGCAAGAUAUUAUAGGCCAGGGAUAUGACGGGGCAAGCAACAUGAGGGGGGAGUGGAAUGGGCUGAAAGCUCUAAUUCUCAAUGAGUGCCCUUAUGCAUAUUAUAUCCAUUGUCUUGCACAUCAACUCCAAUUGGCUCUUGUUGCUGCUUCAAGGGAGGUACAUGAGGUCCAUAAUCUUUUUCAGCAUGCAAAUUUCAUUGUAAAUACUAUUAGUGCAUCUCCCAAACGCAAUGAUGAGCUAUUAGAAAAUCAGGCUACUGAAAUUGCUAGAGAGAUUGAAUUGGGAGAGCUUGACCCGGGAAGAGGGGCCAAUCAAAUAGGAUCUUUACAAAGGGCCGGAGACACGAGAUGGAGUUCCCACUACAAAUCUAUCAAAAGUUUGUUAAAGAUGUUUGCCGCAACUGUUAUAGUGCUAAGAAGUGUAGCAGCUGAUCGUUCAGCUACAAGGAACUCAAGAGGUGAUGCUGGAGGUUCCCUGAAAAUCCUACUCACAUUUGAUUUUGUGUUCAUUCAACACUUAAUGGAAAGAAUCAUGAAAAUCAUGGAUGUCUUGUGUCUCAAACUUCAACAUAAAUCUUUGGACAUUGCAAAUGCAUUAGAUUGUGUUUCUAACACAAAGGUGUUGCUUGGUGAACUAAGGGAAGAUGGAUGGGACAGCCUUUUUGAAGAUGUGAAAUCCUUUUGUGUGAAACAUGAGAUUGACAUCCCAGACAUGGAUCAAAAGUAUGUUGAUGUGACAAAAUCUCGAAAUAAGCAUGACAACACCACAGUUAUCCAUCAUUACAAAGUAGAUGUGUUUAAUGUUGCAAUAGAUCAACAAGUGAUAGAGUUGAAUGAUUGA